CGUAGGUGAACCUGCGGAAGGAUCAUUAUUGUAUAACCGAGGUGCGAGGGCUGUCGCUGACCCGAAAGGUCGUGCACGCCCGAGUGCCCUCACACACAUCCAUCUCACCCCUAUGUGCACCACCGCGUGGGUCCCCCUUUGGCUUGUUCGGAGGGGGGCUUACGUUUUCACACAAACUUUGUAUGCAGUGUAGAAUGUAUUUUUUGUUUUUGCGAUCACGCAAUCAAUACAACUUUCAACAACGGAUCUCUUGGUUCUG
Molecule: unclassified non-coding RNA, 259 nt
Filed under: plant metagenome
Description: partial contains small subunit ribosomal RNA, internal transcribed spacer 1, and 5.8S ribosomal RNA
Source: RNAcentral